GAAGUUGGUCCGGUGGUUGCGGGCUGAGCUGCUUGCAGACUCAGUCUGAGGAAAGUCCGGGCUCCCCAAGGGCCAAACUUGCUGGGUAACGCCCAGUGCGGGUGACCGUGAGGACAGUGCCACAGAAACAUACCGCCGAUGGGAUCCCAGCUUCGGCUAGAUCCACAGGUAAGGGUGCAAGGGUGCGGUAAGAGCGCACCAGCAGCAUCGAGAGGUGCUGGCUCGGUAAACCCCGGUUGGGAGCAAGGUCGCAGAAGCUAGGUUGGCCUUUUUCCGGCUUCGAGUUGGAGCACCGCUGGAGGCAGGGAGUAAUUUCUGCCCUAGAUAGAUAACCACCCACCCCUGAUCGGCUCCGGCUGGGUCGGGUGGGGUACAGAACCCGGCUUAUGACUAACUUCUCCA
RNAcentral lists this RNase P RNA (402 nucleotides) under Synechococcales cyanobacterium RM1_1_8. RNAcentral describes it as "RNase P RNA component class A". It matches the Rfam family "Bacterial RNase P class A". From Rfam's summary of the family: Ribonuclease P (RNase P) is a ubiquitous endoribonuclease, found in archaea, bacteria and eukarya as well as chloroplasts and mitochondria. Its best characterised activity is the generation of mature 5'-ends of tRNAs by cleaving the 5'-leader elements of precursor-tRNAs. Lineage: Bacteria; Bacillati; Cyanobacteriota; Cyanophyceae; Synechococcales. The record is from RNAcentral.